UCACACCAGUUACACACCAGUUGCAGCACCUGUGACCUCUGGCUCUGUCCCCAGAAAAUGUGUACUGGUUAAUGAGGCACACCUGGUGGCACUGCCCACCUGCUUCUCAGUAUCAGAUACAGGAUCACAAACAUAAUAGCCAUAGGAGCAAUAGAAGACUUCAGAAUAACCCUUUUUGUAUUACUAUUUUUAAGACUUUUUUGAACAACUUGUUGUAGUGAAGAUGUACAACAAUUUACAUGGCACCAUAUUUAUUAGCACAGAUAAAGAGCAUGUUAUCUUACAUGGGCUAUCCCUGGUGGCAAUUUAAAAAAAGGUAAAGAGGCUGCUGCUGGCUUCCCCUGAGGAGCCAGCCCCCUCAGCAAUCAGUGUCGGUUGCACCACCUGGCACCCUGCCACAGAGCAGCCACUUGGCCUUUUGAAGAGCUUGCUGCCACGUCCCAUGGCAUGAGGUGAGUCACUGCUUUCCUUGUUUUGGGGUAGAAAAGGAGUAAAGACACCCUAUGAAUUGGCUGAGGUGGCAGGGAAGGAGGGUGGGGGUCAGGCAGAGAGCUUAACAGCCCCUGGAGGGUGAGACAGGAGGGCCGCCAUUACAUGGCGAGGCAGGUGGGCCGCCAUUACAGGGGCUGCUAUUACAGAGCAAGGCAGACUUGAUGCUGCUCAUCCUCCUGAGGGCGAGGGCUGAGUUGUACAGCCAUGACAGAAGGCUCAAGGUGGUGUGUGGCUGUAGGGAAGGGUAGGGGACACCUCGGGGCUGCUGGGAGCGGGUCUGGGGGCAGCCUUAGCCCACCAGCGUGGCAGCAGCCAUGUUGCGUCAUGCCACGCGGGCUGCAGGGCUGAGGCCACCUCAGUGGAAGCACAGAGAAGCAAGGUGAGUUUGGGUGCAGCCUUGUUUGUGUCCUUACUGCUAAGGGCACAGGGUGGUACAGCCAGUACAAGAACAUGCUCACUUGGUGUUUUUUGCAUAAAUGUAGUGCAUUUUCCUGUCAGCUUGUGAUGCCUCAUAUGACAUGGUACAGUAAGGUGGGUUGGGGUGGCGUGGAGAAGAACCCUGGAAGCUUUUCUUGGAAAAACAUCUUUGUUUUUCCAGUGAGCUCAAUGUUUUACGAUUAUUAACUUGGUUUAUUUUUUUCAUCCCACAUUAUUUUGAAGAUGAACUGAAAUUACUGGUCUUUACUUCAAUAAAUCUCAAACUUAUCUCAGACUUAUGGAACAAAAUCAUUUGUGUAUUAAGUAGCAUUUUAUGUGCUGACAUGAAUAUGGAGAACUGGUGAAGGAAAAUACAAAUUCUGAUACUUAAUCUCCUUGAAAUCCUGGAAGUAUGGCUGUGGUGUGUUUGAAAUAUCUGCCUCACUAAGGGAAAAUCUUACAUUGUUCAAAUCCACGCUACCUGAUUAGAAUUUAUGACUGUCUAAAAAUGCUUUGUGGCUGAAUUACAGGGCAUGUGUGUAUGUUAAAACUGGUGACUGUGGAAAGUAAGUAACAAUGUUAUACAACUUAAAGAAAGAUGAUCAAAACCAAGAGCUGGUGUGACCAGUGGACUCUAAUACAUGUAAGUAGUUCGAGUGCUUGUCAUCUGUCCACAUGAUCCUAAUGUUGGCAGCCUGUUGAAAGUGAUGCGUGGGAAACUAGUGCAACGUGCUGAUUUAUUUUAUGCUAAUGGGGAAAAGUCCAUAUUGUUCAAAUUAAAUCCUAAAGCAGAAACAAAUCAUCCAGCCAAGCCCAUCCUAUGGAGUUUCAUUGAAACAGUUAGUGGUCUCUUUCGUGACCUCAGAGUUGUAAAAAUUAAACAAUGUUAGGGGGCUGCUGUUUUCAAGUGCUUCUGUCUGCUGAAAGCGGCUGAGAUUCUCCUGCAGAUGGCUAUUUAAGUUAAAAGCCAAAUGGAGAGAUCACAGCAAUUAGUGCACAUUGGCUUCUUACUGCAUCAGAGUGAAUAAUGUGGGAGGUGUGGGCCAGGACUGUGCCUCAGUCUGUGUUUUUUUUUCCCAUCAGAAACUGAGUAUCAACAGUUCUUCUCAAGUUAAGAAAAAAAAAAAAAAGAGGGAGAAUUUCUUGCUGCUUCACUUGAAAAAAAUAAAAGAGAUUAUGCAAAGAUAGACUAAAGUGGGAGGAAAGAAAAAUAUUUCAAAGGGGAGAACAGUCUACUUGAGGGCUCUGACUGGGUCUGUAGUACAAUGUUUCUCCUACUUUUGCUAUGAACUCACUCCCCCUGGGCUCAUUCCAGGGAAUGAAAUUCUCCCACCUUUUUUGUAUGUAGCCUGAGCCAUGGAAAACCAUAAUAGGACUUAGAAUUUUUUUAAUUUUUAUUAUUUUCUUUACUUAGAAUAUCUGAAGGUAAAAAUUAUUUGUCACCUUGAAGAUUUAGAAUUUCAUGGGGGGAAAAUGGAGGGUCGAAGUACUUAUGAAUUCACAUUUUACUUUUUACUGAGGGAACUAUUCUGUGUAAGAACUAUCCAAUACCAUGACACUAGUUUCACUAAAACCAUUACAACAUUAUCCAAUGGGAGGUAACUUUUCCAUCACUCAUGAGUGUUUGUGAAUUUCUCCUUUUCUGGAGGUUUCUAGCUAUCCAGUGGAAUGACUUGGGGCGAUGAGAUUGCGUUAGAAGAUAGUGAUUAGAGAAUUGGUCUGAAUUCAAGUCAAGAAAUGCCUCUGGAGAAUGAUCAAAUACAAACCCAGCACUUUUUCCUUCAGGUCCUUUUCUUAGUGAGCAUGCAAAACAAUGGCAAAAUGUUUCUGUUUCAUGGCCAGUGUUCAAGUAAACAUGCAGCUUUUGCCUCCAGCAGAUGGAAUGAUAUAAGUUUGAUUGCCUUAUGUUAUUGAGUGACUUGUCGUUAGUGUCUAGGGACCAAUAAUCUGUAAAUUAGUGUUUAUUCAAUUGGUGCUGCAGUGAAAAGGUUUAAUCCCUGAAAAUUUAAAAAUGUAGAUUGCUUUCUACACUGCUGUUGUAAUUUCCUUAAAAUGAGGAAUGAGAAGCCUACAACUAAUAAAUCUAGAACAGAGAUAUUGCUGAUGUAGUGUGAGGAGAGACUGGGAAUCAGUUCUCAAUAAUCUUUGAGCAGUCCUGGUGGUUCUUGGAGACUUCUGAGGAAGAAAGCAAUGUCACUCCUAUCAUCAAGAAGAGCAAGGAGGAUCUGGGAAACUACAGAUUGGUCACCCUCACCGUGGGGACCUGAUGGAGCAACUAAUCCUGCAAGCAGUGUCCAAACGUGAGCGGGACAAGGUGGUGAUUGGGAGUAGUCAGCAUGCACUGAAGGGGAAGUCAUCUUUCACCAACCUGAUAGCUUUCUCCAAUGCAAUCACUGACUUGGAGGAGGAGAUGAGAGCAGCGGGUGUUUACCUCAGCUUCAGCAAGGCUGCUGAGACUGUCUCCCAUAGCAUCCUUGUAGACAAGCUGAUGAAGAACAGGCUAAAUAAAUGGACUGGGAGGUGGUUUGAAAAGCGUCUGAACUGCCGGCUCAAAGCGUUGUGAUCAGCAGCGUGAAGUCCAGCUGGAGGCCAGUCAUUAGUGCUGUACCCCGGGGGUCGAUAACUGGGGCUGUGUCAGUGCAGAACAGAAAACUCUGAAACGUGUUCUGCCACUUGAUGGCAGCUGACAACUGCAUAUACAUACGCAAGGUUGUUGAAAGGUCACAGAAACUGAUUUGAUGCCUAAAGGGGCAGCUAAACUACCUCAGAAUUUGGCAAUACGAAUUAUUUCAAGUAAAGGUUACUAGGAUUGCAGGGGGAAGAAAACUUGGUGAAGAGGGAAGUCUCAAGCUGACUGUAAACUCCUGAAAGAAUAGAAUAAAUUGAUGCCAGCCAGCUGUGAGAGCUGCUGACAAAGAAGAGGCCGUGGAGCUGACCCUUGACACUAGCAGUUGCCAUUGCCUGGCAUGAAACCUCCCGUGUUGCUGGCAAUAGAAAGACUGGGAACAACUGCUGGUGCCAGCAGGGGGGUGAGGAGAAGCCAAGCUGAGCAACAAUUCCAUCAGCAUUUAUUUACUCAAAGAUCAGAUGCGAUGCAAACCAAAGCAGGGGACGGGAUAACAGUGUGUACCGACAUGGAGGGGAUUGCACUGCCCAGGAAAGGAAGAUGUUUGGUGACAUGGCUACUUCACAGCUGGGUGGCAACCCAUAGCUAUGGUUUCACAAAACAGUUGUUUUAUAAUGUUGUGAAACUAUUGUGACCAUUUAGUUUUGUUGUUUUUUUUCCUCAUGAAAACUGAAGAUGAAAUCGUGGCCUACCUACUUCUUAACUUUAAUGUGCUUUUCAGCCUUUUUUUCUACAGUCUGUUUUCAUAGAGAAUGGGAGCACCUUCUGUCCCACUGUCCCCUCACCACACACACUGUUUCAUUAUGAAUUUCCAACUAUAUACAUGCAGGUCAAAACCAUAUUACUUACUUCGCCUAGACCAGUGAAGCAUUGUAUUUCUAUAACACUUAUACUACAGCAUCUGUACUGUAACUGAUGCUCUACUAAUAUCAGAGGAAUUUUUAGCAAGCUCCAAUUGAAUUUUAUACUGGAUUAAUACACUAUAGCUUGUAUCUGAACCACAGUGCUUUUGGUGCUAACCUUUUCCUCCAUACUAUCGUUUCAUUUAAUGAUUGUGGGAAGUGUCUUCAUUUGAGGAAAAGAUAUUUGAGGUAUGUGUUCAUGCACAGAUCUAUAUAGAUUUUUGGACUAUGGAAAUUAUUCUCUACAGUACUCUGCAAUUGUAGAAAUACUAAAAUCUUGCAGACAUAUAUGGGCAAUCUUAAAUGAUAAAGAAUCCCAAGUGUGUAGAAACUGUCCUUCAAUUGUGAGCAGAGAAACUACUUGGGAACCCCUUCCUUUCCUUACUAAAUACAUGCUCCAGUAAUUGUUCAAUAUGUUAAUACAAAAUAUGGAAAUUAUGUGGCUAAAUUAACCUUUCUGGAACUUGUUGAAUGGAAGUACUUGAGCAUGCUAACUUAGUGUUGCACGAAUGCAAUUUUUUCAUGCAAUUCAGGAUUAAAAUUCAAUAGUGUAUUCUAAAUGAGUAAUAGAAAAAAGGUUCAAUAAUAAAAGCAAGUAUUCCUAAGGCUCCUGCAUUUUGCAAGGUAGUUAACUAACUUUUAUCCCUUUUCUGUCUUAAGCCUAGCUGACAAGUUUUUAAGUAGCAUUGCUAAUGUGUGCAAAAGGUGAUAGAUAUUGGCAAUGCACUUUGCCUGUCUUGUUUAAGAGGCUGCUACUACUUGUAUGAGUGACUACUGCUACAUCAGGAUAUUUUGCUGUGCAUUCUGGUGGUGUACUUUUAAAUUGUGACAACUGCAAGUUUCAAAUUUUUACAGGAAAAAAUGACCACAACAGUGUUAGUAGUCGGGAAAUCCAAGUAGCCGUUCAUCUCUCCUGAAUGUUUCAACUUCUGCUUACAAAAUACGUAACUUUCUUUUUUCCAUUGUAAGAGAGUCCUCUUGUGAUGAAUAUGUGAAAAUCCAAAUGUCUUCUCCAUCUCUUCAAUCACUUUUUAUUCUUCUUCAUGCUAUGUGGGCUAUCAAAUCUGCUGGGACAUUGGCUUUGAUUCUCUUUACUAUCACUUAAAGUUCUGCCAAGGUUCUUGCUAAAUGUUUCUGGCUAUUGAUAAACUCAGGGUUUUUUUACAUGCCCUGUUGGGAUAAUGCUAACUAGUUUGUGUUUGUUUUUUGUUUUUUGUUUGUUUGUUUGUUUUCCUCUAGUGGUCCAUAGCCUGACAGUGCAGGGAUGCUAGUGGAACAGGAUGAUUUAGAGGCUGUGGAUGGGGUGGUUGGUUGCAGGUUCAUAACUGUGUUCUGAAGACUUCUGAUUUCAGCAGAACUGCUUCUGAACAGUUUGACACUUUGUGUGUCAAGCAUGGUUUGCUAUAAGAUCAUAGUUGGAGUGCUCAGUAUAUGAGAGUGUCAAGUCCUUCAUCUCUCCCAAAGUCCACUGAAGAGUCUCCUGUUGAUGUCAGUGAAUUUUUGAUUAAGUCUUUAUAUGCAACUGAAUGUCCUCCGUGUAAACAGGUUAAUGGCAUUCACUGAGGAGAUGGGCAUGUCCUUAAACACAUAUGUCUGCUGGCUCUUUGGUAGGCGUCUGUUCUAGAGACGAGAAAACCUCCUGAAUGGAGAUCCCGGUUGGUACAGCUUUAGCAGCUCUGAGACUUCAUCCUUCCUGACUCUACACUUGCCGUGGGACUGGAGCUGCGUGGUACCGGGCCCCGUGGCUUGUGCACAGUUGGAUGUUGUUAGUCCCCAUGAGCUAAAUUCCCUGGCAAAAGUCCAGUGAAGAAUAAUGGUGUAGGGUGGGGGGAAUUCAGGACAGGGCAAGCCAAAUACAGUUGAGACAACUCUAGCUAAGCCAGAAAAUAGUUCUGAGCUUCAUUUGGGGUCUAUGCUCCAGUAGAUGAAGAGGCAAGCAUGGUAAAGGACCCAUGAAAUGAGCUAGUAAAGUCAGGCAUCUUCUCACCAGUCCUUCCAUCCUGAGACAAGGUAACUUUCAGCUCUGUAGCAAAACUACUUGUUGAAGGGUUGCAAAGUCGGUAGGACUCACAUGGAAAUGCUCAACCUCUGUAAUGAGAUGGUGGAAGUGUGGUACAGAGGGAUGCACACACAGCAUGGUGUGUUUGCUGCUUUCACUUUGUGCUCCUUGUCCCAGAAAUCAGUACAGGUUUUAGCUUUAAAUACUUGAGCUGCUUGCUUGGAAACUUGUUAGAUGUUUUACAUUUUCAUCUUCUUUUGCUAAUCAGCGAGAAAAAGGAAAGAGCUAGAGCUGUUUUUUCAGUUGCAGAUUACUGAGGUGUGCUUUGCAAACUGCCUUUUGAGGAAUGAGCUGUAUGACUAUGUUGCUGCUGUAAGUUUAUGCAUUUUUAGAUCAGAGAAAUGUGUGGUGCUGGGCAGUGUACCACAGUCAUCAAAACAACAGCCAUUACAAAAAGUCCUAAGCAAGCAAAAUGCAAACUUGAAACCCCAGUUGGAAGCAUCUAUCAAUAGACCACACCAAGCCCAGCCUAAGCCUGAAGCAAAAACAAAUUAGAACACUCAUCUUUCUUGAAAUCCUAUGAACAUAUUCUUAAAGUUUCCCAUGAGGUUUCGGAAAGCCAUUUUGUUACAAAUAAUUUGAAAAAAGUUUAGAUUUUCAAUGCUGUUUUUAGCCUAUCAGACAAGUACAAGCCUACGAUUGGCUACCACCCAAAGUCAGAUCAUCUAUAACUUGCCCACUAGGUUCUUGUUAUGGUGUUCCUUGGAGUAAAAUGUAAGUUUAGAUACUCCUUUGCAUGUCUGCUAUUGCAUCCAGAGUGCUACAGAGACUUAAACUGCAAAAAUUAGCACUUCAACAAGCAGUAUCUGCAGGCUGGGGAUACAUAAUAGCUUGCAAAACUCGUUUUCUGCAGGAAGCCCUGCUGUGGAUGAGUUAUUAAUCUCACGCACGUCUAUCCCUUCGUGUCAGAACACCCAGUGCUGUGCAUUAGCUGCAGACAAAAGAUUCACUCCUGACAAGUUUUCUACCAGCUCCUGGUAACUGAAGGAAGAGGCCGCCCUGUUCUCCCUGAGUGGGUUGCCAUGUCCCCAGCUGAGGUGGGCUGUGUAAAUACAAAGACAGAGGAGCAGCAUUUGAACUGGCUAGUCUUACUAGAUGCUAGCGAAAGGAAGGACCUCCAAAGAGAUGUUUUGUUGCCUAGGGAUUUGAUGGUUUGCAGUGUAUACAUUUUUAAAUAGUCUUAGUAUGCUUCAGAGAAUGUCAUUUUAGAUGGGAUAAUAAUCCUAAUGGGAUUAUUUACUACUUUGAAUUGUAUUUAGGCUUUAAAUUGCAGUAAUUUGGUUUUCAGUUCAUGUAAUCAUUCUUGAUAAGUGAUAUUCAUUGUGUUUAUGUGUUCCUGAGCCACUGUAAGUAGCAGUGAAUUCCCCAACUGAGAAAGGGAAAUACUGUUUUAGAUUCUAACAUUUGUUAGAGCGGAAAAGCAUUUCCUAUCCAAUUACAUGGACAUUUUGAAGGGAGUUUUUCUUAUCAGACAUUCCCAUUGAGAAGGAAGAAUGAAGUCAAGACAGUAACAGCAAAGCUAUUGCGGGUUCCUGAGUCAGGUCCCUUGGGGCAGGAGUCCAAGUGAAGUUUGUGACUUGAUGAAUGUGACAGAUUUCAGGCCAUAAGAGCCUGGUAGUAUCAACAGUACAGGAGAGGAAGUGAAUUUAGCCAGAAAAGAGAUUACAGAUAUGCAAGAAGUAAUACGAUGGGAAAAGCACUUCCUUUUCAAGCAGUCGGUGCAGUCAGUACCUGUCAGCAUCUGAACCUCCUGGUCAGUUAUCAUACAGUCUGCUCCAUAAACUCUGCUCACGUGCAGCUGGAGCAUCUUUCUCUUCUAAAAUGGUGUAAAACCUCGAAGCAUUUGCCAUGGUUUUAAGUGAAUCACUUGGCAUGCAUAAGGGCCUAAAUCAGAAUGAUAAAUGGCAAGGAAAUAUUUAAAACUGGGAAGCAAAGCUGCUGUGUAAUUACUGUAUGGGAGGUGUGUUUGUCUGCCUGGGUGGUUGCUCCUGUGUGGCAAUGUAGCAAGGUAAUCUUUCCUCUUUGCCUUUCAUUAAUUGCUAAUGAACUGAAGAAAUUCACCAAAAGCUCAUAACAGCAGAACUAAGGAAGCAGUGCUCUGCAAAGGAAAAGCGCUGGCAGUAGAGAGGCCUGUUGCCAAAGAACAGAAAUGUUUAUCACAGUUCAGUAGUAUUUCUCUUCAGGAAUCGGUAAUGUUUGUUGUAAUCAUCACUCAGCCUGCAGAAUUUGUACAAGCUAGGAAGGAAAAAAAAAUCCUAAUUUAUUCAAUGAUAAAAGGACGCUUUUUAUAUGAGCUGUAUUUAGAUAGGAGUUAAAUUAUUCCAUAUUCCUUGAAAUCAACAAAUACCUGUCAUCGCUUAUUUCAGAUAACAGGUGUUUUAAAGCUAAUUUAUUACAUAAAAUGAUGUAUCAGAUGUGUACGAUAAAGGAUAAAGUUUGCCUACUCAUUUGCUACAGUUAGACGAAAUUUGUGAGUGGUAUUUCCAGUGUGAUUACAAAUUAAAAAAAAAAAAAAAAAAAUACAUCCAAAGAUGUAACAAAUAAUGUUUGUUCAAAAAGGUGAAUAACUUUGUUUUCAUUCAAGGUUUACUGUGACUCUUUUUGAAAAAAAAUGAGCCUAUUAACUUUUCCAUGUGUCAUGCAGAGCCUUGCUUAGAGAACUGCCAUCCUGAAGAUGUGUCAUGAUCUGUUACUCCAGUUGUUGUCAUCAGUUCAAAGGCACUUUCCAUUUUACUAGUGAGGAAGGUGUCUGAGCACGCCUCUGUUGAUUCAUAUUUCAUGUUACAUUCACCAUCACAAGCUGUCAAGGAGAUGCAAGAGGUAUCUUUGUUCAGUCUAUAACAGACUGAAAAGAAGUCCUCAGGAAGAAAAAUCUGAGGAUGUUAAUACUGACUCUUCUACCACUUGAGCCAAACUGUGACACUAUAUGUAUGAAAACACUGCCUUUGUCUCAAGCGAAUCUUCCAAAAAUUUGUUGUUAGCUUAAUAAAGCAGACACCUCCUAACUAUUGAAAAACUGAGCUAGGAAUUUAACACAUAACAGCAAAAGGCAAAUUCACUGGGCUGUGUCCACAAAAGCAUAUGGCUGGGUCUGCAAGUGUUUCUUCAAUGCUUAUUGACCCUGUGCAGUAUCCUGUGAACGUGGUUUCCAAAUCUGUGCUUCCUCUUGCUGGCAGGUUGUGUGACCUCAGAGCGUACCUUUGUGUACUCAUGGCUCUGUGGUUAGUCUGUGCAGCAGUUAGUGAGCUUCUCUCUGUCCUUACAGCGUCUGUGCACGUGAGGCUUGCUUCAGUCUGUCACUGAUGCUCAGUUCACACAGGAGCGAAGGUAGUCUGGAUUCCAAAUGGUAGAGAGUCUGUGUUUCCAUAGUGUUUUUGCAAUGUAUUGCUAAAAAAAACUUCCACUUAAGACAGGAAAUGCAAAGGGAUUUCAAUUUUUUUUCUACAUCCUGUUUAUAAGCAAGCAUUAAGUAUGCUUAUAGGGGCACGCUGCAGCUAGAAGGGAAAAGCUCAAUACCCGUGAUUUUAAUCCCAGAGGAACCCUCUGAGAAUAACCAUGCAUAUUGAAUACAUUAAAUGACAACCAGCUCUCAGUGUACCUGUGUGAAAGUGAUGUCGCAAGUUAUUUCUGACCGUGUUCUUUUUUCUCUUUUUAGGAUUUACUGUGUGAGGCCAUUGUCCUACAAAGUUUUCUGGAGAUAAAGUCUUCUAGAGGGACACUCUGAGAAAUGUCAGUCAUUCCUGAAUGAUUACUGGCUCAGAUUUCCAUCCUAAGCUUUCAUCCAUCACACAGAACAGAGCAAUCUGUCAGCCUGUUCACAGGAGACAAAAAGGUCUCUUGGAAUUCAGAAGGAUGAAAAGAUGAAAUCCUCAUAAUUGGGUUGGAUUUAGAAAUGGAAGACAAGGUAAUGCAACCUGUGCACACCAGCCCUCCACCACAAGCUGCAGUAAUGGAAUUGGCUCCAGUGAAAUGUGAACCGCAACAUGCUUGUUCCUUUAACGCCCUCUCUAACAACAUCAAACAGGGGAGAGAAAAAAAAAACAGGGAAUAUGUUAAAGAGUCAGCCAUUUCGACUGAACUGGGCUUGGAUUUCGCUGGAGAGGGAGUACUACGUCAUGGAUGAGAACUAGAAAUUUCUGGAAGUGACCAUAAGAUGCAGAGGAUAUCUGGGAGAAACCUCUUUUAUCAUAUCUACUGCAUAUAUUCCUCAAGUGGCAUGCAGAGUAGAGGUGGACUGCUAAUUCCUCUUAGAAGAUCUGGUGAUGUCAUUCAACAAUUGAUGGUCAUUUGUUCUGCACUCCAAGGUUCAGCUGCUGGUACUGUACCAUCUACUGUCUUGUCUUUUUCUGACUACAUCUCACAUCCUGGAGGUCAUUCCAGUGUUGUUUAUUUUAAUAAGAAUGAGACUGAGAAAAGCUGUCAUAUUAUCAUUAUUGAUGACUCCCUUUAUGAGGAAGAUGAGACCUUCAAUAUUUCCUGAGCAUGCCACGAGGAGGCCAAGUUGGCACUGAAUUCCUGAGCACUGAAGUAAUUAAUAAUCUUGGUUGACAUAGAUGAUGGAAUAUCAGUGUUCUGUUCUGUCAUCAGUAUCUGCUGACCAUCCUAGCCUUGCAUUUACACCGUUAGGAAGCGAGCCGACCUUCCAUCAGCCUGUGCAGCAGUGGAGUUUUAUCUCUGAUUUUGCUGUCAGUGACCCAGUGGCCGCAGAGUUCAAUCUAAAUACUCAGAUGCUUCUGCUGUCUAAAAAGGAGCUUUGGAUAUCUGACGGGUCAAAGGGAUGGAGCUGAUGAAGCUUUUACAGAAGGAUGUGAAAUCUGUGGCUGAGUGAUGGUGGAUCCUAUUCAGAACCUCGGUGACUCCUUCAGCUGCACCAUCGAGGUGUUCCUUGGCACUGGUGCCAAUGGGUGCGUGCCCAAGCACAGCUCAGACAACCAAGAACAUGGGUGUCUGGCUGACUCACCCUCACUCAUGUACAGAGUGAAGAUCCUGGAUAAAGCUCAACCUGAGACACAAACAAGAGCCUUUGGAAACCUGGAGUUUCGUGCUACAUUAAGCAGCUGACCACACAGAUUUUUUUCCUCUAGUAAAACGGCCUGGUUCUGAUGGCUUCAGCGUGUCGUCUGCUCCACUCUUCCAGCACAGAAACAAUGACACCAAGGCUUCAUAACACUGGACCUCUUCUUUUGCUGCCUUGCUGUUACUGCAGGUGUUACUGUGAGCAGGUAUUGGGGGUUAGAAAAAAAUUAGAAAUAAACUGAGUUUUCUUGCAAUGGGAAAAAAAGAAAUAAUUAGUUUGUAUAUGAUAGGAAAUAAAACUGUGCACCAUGCUUUUUGCAGAUGAAUUCAAUUU
Anas platyrhynchos (mallard) is the source of this 11846-nucleotide non-coding RNA. NCBI's taxonomy places the organism in Eukaryota, Metazoa, Chordata, Aves, Anseriformes, Anatidae. The record is from RefSeq and is a predicted model, not a curated record.